UCUUAACUACAGCAAGAAACUGAGCAUAGUCUACCUUCUCCGUCUCUCAGCCUUCCUGUCACUUCUUCCCCUCUCCAAAAGACUUCACACAACAGAUGCUUCCUAACGGAGCUUAACUGCUACAGAUUUCUGUUGUCGCUUCCACGUCUGCAGAACUGAACCAUGAAGGUUAUUUCUCCAAAAGUUUGACAGCUCCAGGCCAAUUUCUACUAAAAAUGCUAUCCACCCUGGGCAUGUCAAAAUUUCCAGAGUGAGGCAGAACGUUGAAAUACAGAGGGAUAAGGUAACUUUUUUGAAAAAUAUGGGUGAACACAGUCCUAUUACAUGAAUAUGGGAGUUACAUCACAUCCCUGGAAGAGAAAUUUCAGGAGGAAAGAGCCCAUGAAGCCGCAGCUAGACCUGUAAUCCACUCACACUUGUUAUAAAGUGUGAUCCAAGAAGCGGGAUGUUACAGUGGAAAAGCACCUGUUUCUGUGAAAGCAUGCCCUACGGCCUUCACAGAGAUUUCACCCACCUGGUGGAGGACUUCACCUAUGCCCCUGGUGCACAUCCUGUGAACAGUCAAAGGUGGGUGGAAUGUUUCUCUGCCCUGCUUCACAAAGCUCAACCUUCUGACCCUGUCUCUCAGUGGAAAAAGCCAGAUCUUAACUGCCUUUCUGACAGGCUUAGGACAAUGAACUUCAUUGCUUCAUCCUUACAGUCUCCUGCUGGUAAACAUGGGUGUAAGGAUUUCAGCCUAUUAGUUAAUCACCAGUCACAUGGCAAGUUACAGAGGAGGGUAUGUCUUUGGAAUGAUCUUUAAGAACCACAGCUCUGAGGUCUUACAUGGUAGGAUGGCAUAAUGAAACAAAUAAAUCAGAGACACUAAAACAAGAUUUGUCAAAAUUAUGGGGAGGGGGGAACCUGUUGCCAUCAAGUCAACUCAACUCAGAGUGACUCCAUGUGUGUCAGACCAGAAUGGCACGCCAUAGGAUUCUCAAUGGCUGAUUUUUUGGGAACAGGUUGCCAGGCCUUUCUUCUGAGGCACAUCUGGGUGGACUUGAACCUCCAAUCUUUUGGUUAGCGGCUGAGUGCAUUACCUAUUUGCACCACCUAGGGACUCUGUCAAUACUAUACUGAUUAUAUCAAUUUGGUGGAACCAUCACUUUUCAAGACUUUUUUUUUACCCUUUUUCUUUUAAUUUUUAUUGUGCUUUAAGUGCAGGUUUACAAGUCAAGUUGGUCUCUCACACAACAACUUAUAUACACCUUGCUACAUACUCCCAAUUGCUCUCCCCCAAUGAGACAGCCUGCUCCCUCGCUCCACUCUCUCUUUUCGUGUCCAUUUCGCUAGCUUCUAACUCCCUCCACCCUCUCAUCUCCCCUCCAGACAGGAGAUGCCAACAUAGUCUCAAGUGUCCACCUGAUCCAAGAAGCUCACUCCUUACCAGCAUCAUUCUCCAUCCCAUUGUCCAGUCAAAUCCCUGUCUGAAGAGUUGCCUUUGGGAAUGGUUCCUGUCCUGGGCCAACAGAAGGUCUGGGGGCCACGACCACCAGGGUCCUUCUAGUCUCAGUCAGACCAUUAAGUCUGGUCUUUUUACGAGAAUUUGUUUACCCUUUUUCUUGACGUAAAAAUAAUACAUACUUACUUCAGAGGUGUCAGAAAAUAUAAAAGAGUAAAAAGAAACAAACAUUACUA
Loxodonta africana (African savanna elephant) is the source of this 1677-nucleotide long non-coding RNA. RefSeq lists it as uncharacterized. The record is from RefSeq and is a predicted model, not a curated record. The transcript is spliced from 3 exons. Lineage: Eukaryota; Metazoa; Chordata; Mammalia; Proboscidea; Elephantidae.